RNAcentral lists this unclassified non-coding RNA (506 nucleotides) under uncultured Alphaproteobacteria bacterium. RNAcentral's name for it is "partial 16S-23S ribosomal RNA intergenic spacer". The stretch from base 387 to 506 matches the Rfam family "Bacterial large subunit ribosomal RNA", at positions 1 to 121 of the family's 2925-position model. Lineage: Bacteria; Pseudomonadati; Pseudomonadota; Alphaproteobacteria. The record is from RNAcentral.
CCUCCUUUCUAAGGAUAAAUGAUAAUUAGUUCGCUAGUUAUCCGGGUUGUUGCCUUCGUAUCUCUUCAUUUGGUAGCUAGUGCUAUGUGUUUUCUAAUGACUUGGGCUAGUAGCUCAGUUGGUUAGAGCGCGCGCUUGAUAAGCGUGAGGUCGGAGGUUCAAGUCCUCCCUGGCCCACCAUUUUUUUGGGGGAUUAGCUCAGCUGGGAGAGCGCCUGAUUUGCAUUCAGGAGGUCGUCGGUUCGAUCCCGAUAUCCUCCACCAUAAAUUUAUUAGCUAUUCGUCUUAUUUAGUUCUUUAAACUGUAAAUAUGAAACUAAUAUAACUGAUCAAAUUAAUUAUUAUAAAUUAUAUACGUACAUAAAAUUUUUCUCUGUACGUAAUUGCAGUCAAGCGCAAAAGGGCAUUUAGUGGAUGCCUUGGCAUCAAGAGACGAAGAAGGACGUGGCAGGCUGCGAAAAGCUAAGGGGAGUUGUCAACACGCUUUGAUCCUUAAAUUCCGAAUGU